Molecule: long non-coding RNA, 704 nt
Organism: Papaver somniferum (opium poppy)
Lineage: Eukaryota; Viridiplantae; Streptophyta; Magnoliopsida; Ranunculales; Papaveraceae
Exons: 3
Source: RefSeq, a predicted model, not a curated record
ACUUCUGUUUUCCAGUCCAAAAAACUCUGAAGUUCUCAUUCCCUCUCAGUCUGAAAACUCGAUUAACAACUCAAUCUUUAGACAAAAUCUCGAUUCAUUUUAAGUGAAGAAGAUUUCUCGAUUAAAUCAAGCAAACUAUUUCGUUUUAGGUGAAGAAGAUUACAGUGUUCGCUUAAUCUAGGGUUCUUAGAAAAAUUUCUUUGUUUUGUGAGGUUUUUGCUAUAAUGGAGAGACUUUACCUAUGAGUUUUAUUUAAUUUUUGUUUUGCUUCUUAGAUAUGGGUUUUAGAGUUCUCUGAUGAUGAUGCCUUGAUGUUCUCCCUUAACAAAAAAACCCAGAAAACCCAGGUAUGAAGGAACAUGAUGAUUUAGCUCAUAGAAAAGUGUAUGUUGCUCAAAAGGGGCUUGUCAAGUAUCUUCAGUGGUUACAGUUGCAGGGAAGGAGAUGAGACAGGGGUUAGAAGAAUACACUCAAUUCAUCUUUGCAAACAGAAAGUCGUGAACACAACAUGUUUGAGGAAAUGCCUGAGUGCUAGCUGAAGUUGUUAUUACUGUGAAUAAGGGAUUGAAAGUUUUAUUUAAUGAAAUGGUCUUGCUGCAAGCUGUUGUAGGGGUAUAUGGAUUGCAGUGGAGGAACUGGUGAUUGAUGUUGACUAGAAAUGGGGAAGAUGCAAGCGCAAUGGCUAUGAAUUCAUAGCAAUUCAA